CGGUAAAUUACUAUAUAGCAGAGCAUUCACGAAUUACAAAGUGUAAGAAGGUUGAUUUUCCUAUCAAAAUCAGAGAUGACUUUUUCUAGCUUAUAGAAUAGUUGCAACAACAACCAUUCUUUAAAAAUAUGGAACACUAUUAAAAUGGCUAUAACUUAGCAUUGUGUUAUUUUCCCAAGAAGAAAACUAAACUUGAUACACUACCAGAAAUUAUAACAAGAGAAUACGAUUCAUUUUCUUAUGCCACUUAAAAAGCAAGAGGAAAACCAAGUUGCAUGAUAUUGAGGUUAAGAUUUGUACGUAGACACCAUUUAUAACUCUAUCAUGUUAUAUUUAGUAGGUGCAGGAUUCAAAUUCUGCUAUAGGUCCUUCCUCUUUUUUCCUUGCCCUUUUCUCCAUUCACGGGCCCACCCUUCCUUCAAAAAAUUUCAAAAACAAACAAGCCGUUAUUUUCCUAAUUAGGUGUAUGAUGAGCAAAAUUAGUUUCAAAGAAAUGCAUAAACAAAAAUGAGGAAAUGAAAAGGAUAGUGGCUAGUUCAAGAGAAUAAAUCCACAAGUAUUGAGUAUGACCCGCUCUAUUAAUCGAUUACGCGUCUUGGGGCUUUGAUUGUGCUUUCUCCUGCUUUUUGAAUUCUAAUUUCUUGGCCGUGGAAGAAAUGCUGAUUUUGAAGGAACAAAAUGGGGAGGCAAUUUUGCAACUUGACCUGGUCUGUAUCUUGCUACUUGACCUGGUCUCUAUCGAUCCAGACCAUGGACGGGUUGAGAUUCAAUUGCCCCAGGCCUGCUUGGAGCCUGGACUAUCAAGGCCCAAUAAUGGGGGAUUUGCACAAAUAUGAUUAUUUCGUGCUAUCAUUUAAUUUUUUAUUCCAUGAAAAGAAGUUUUGGGAAAAUAACCCCACAACAGAAUUUUGAAGCACGAUGGUCAUCAUGAUUCAUAAUUAGGGUACGAUUUUUAUUAAUAACAAGUUAUGAUAAUCGUCAGGCUUUCUAACCAAAUUUCGGUGAUCACCAUAACAUGAUGUGUAUGAACUAUGAACAUGGUAAUCAUCAUGAUUUUGUCACACAUUCUUACGGAUCACCAGAUUUUUCAGCAUUUGUGGCUAAAAACUCUGGUCAUCGUCAGAAUUUUUGACCAAAAUCCUGAUGAUCACUAUAACACGUCGGGGAGAAAUUUUCCAACAUGUUAUUUUUUUAAAAUUAAUCCAAAUUAGCUUCAAAUGAUUUUAAAUUUGAUAUACCACAUUCUACCACCAAUCGCAAUAAUUACCAAUAGAUAGAUUCAAUCUAAAUCUUCAAAGUAAAUAGACUCACACUAUCUUCUUCAACAUAUAUCUUUUCAAGCUCAAUAGAACCCAACAAUGGUGGUUUUAAAUUUUCUCCAAUCAAACAAAUUUAAGUCAUUAUUUGAAUGCUCAAAAUUUGUAUAUUGGAAUAAGAAGAAGAAUAAGAAAAAGAUGGAUAAGGAGGAGAAAGAAGAAGAAAGAGCAU
This 1488-nucleotide long non-coding RNA is filed under the name Nicotiana tabacum (common tobacco). Its description in RNAcentral is "long non-coding RNA (NTAB_LNC007992)". The record is from RNAcentral. Lineage: Eukaryota; Viridiplantae; Streptophyta; Magnoliopsida; Solanales; Solanaceae.